This 433-nucleotide unclassified non-coding RNA is filed under the name soil metagenome. Its description in RNAcentral is "partial contains 5.8S ribosomal RNA, internal transcribed spacer 2, and large subunit ribosomal RNA". The stretch from base 1 to 120 matches the Rfam family "5.8S ribosomal RNA", at positions 35 to 154 of the family's 154-position model. The record is from RNAcentral.
GAUGAAGAACGUAGCGAAAUGCGAUACGUAAUGUGAAUUGCAGAAUUCAGUGAAUCAUCGAAUCUUUGAACGCAUAUUGCGCUCUCUGGUAUUCCGGAGAGCAUGCUUGUUUGAGUAUCAGUAAACACCUCAACUUCCAUAUCUUUUUUGAAAUGGGAGUUGGACUUGAGUGAUCCCAACGCUUUUCCUCACCGAAAAGUGGCGCUUUACUUGAAAUGCAGGUGCAGCUGGCCUUUUCUCUGAGCUAUAAGCAUAUCUAUUUAGUCUGCCUAAAAAACAGAUUAUUACCUUUGCUGCAGCUAACAUAAAGGAGAUUAGUUCUUGUGCUGACUGAUGCAGGAUUCACAAAGACAGGCUUCGGCCGACUUUGUAAACUCGAUCUCAAAUCAAGUAAGACUACCCGCUGAACUUAAGCAUAUCAAUAAGCGGAGGA